Molecule: ribosomal RNA, 238 nt
Filed under: Sphingomonas sp. NQ3
Lineage: Bacteria; Pseudomonadati; Pseudomonadota; Alphaproteobacteria; Sphingomonadales; Sphingomonadaceae
Description: partial 16S ribosomal RNA
Rfam family: Bacterial small subunit ribosomal RNA
Source: RNAcentral
ACGAGACCUUCGGGUCUAGUGGCGCACGGGUGCGUAACGCGUGGGAAUCUGCCCUUUGGUACGGAAUAACUCAGAGAAAUUUGUGCUAAUACCGUAUAAUGACUUCGGUCCAAAGAUUUAUCGCCAAAGGAUGAGCCCGCGUAAGAUUAGCUAGUUGGUGAGGUAAAAGCUCACCAAGGCGACGAUCUUUAGCUGGUCUGAGAGGAUGAUCAGCCACACUGGGACUGAGACACGGCCC